RNAcentral lists this ribosomal RNA (465 nucleotides) under uncultured bacterium. RNAcentral's name for it is "partial 16S ribosomal RNA". It matches the Rfam family "Bacterial small subunit ribosomal RNA", at positions 28 to 507 of the family's 1533-position model. The record is from RNAcentral.
GAUGAACGCUGGCGGCGUGCUUAACACAUGCAAGUCGAACGGAAAGGCUCCUGCUUGCAGGGGUACUCGAGUGGCGAACGGGUGAGUAACACGUGGGUGAUCUGCCCUGCACUUCGGGAUAAGCCUGGGAAACUGGGGCAAUAACGGGGAAGAAGAUGGUUUUGGAGGCAGUUGGGUAAGGUUUUUCGGUUGUGGGUGAACUUGCGGCCUAAUCGGUUGUUGGUGGGGUAAUGGGCCACCAAAGGGUUGACGGGGUGGCGGCCUGAGAGGGGGUACGGCCACAAUGGGACUGAGAGACGGCCCAGACUCCUACGGGAGGCAGCAGUGGGGAAUAUUGCACAAUGGGCGCAAGCCUGAUGCAGCGACGCCGCGUGGGGGAUGACGGCCUUCGGGUUGUAAACUCCUUUCGCUAGGGACGAAGCGCAAGUGACGGUACCUGGAGAAGAAGCACCGGCUAACUACGUG